RNAcentral lists this ribosomal RNA (903 nucleotides) under uncultured bacterium. Its description in RNAcentral is "bacterial SSU rRNA". It matches the Rfam family "Bacterial small subunit ribosomal RNA", at positions 54 to 965 of the family's 1533-position model. The record is from RNAcentral.
CAUGCAAGUCGAGCGGAGACAGUGAGUAGCUUGCUAUGAGCUGUUUUAGCGGCGGACGGGUGAGUAACGCGUGAGCAACCUUUCCCAGACAGGGGAAUAACACACCGAAAGGUGUACUAAUACCGCAUAAGACCACGGGAUCACAUGGUUCUGGGGUAAAAGAUUUAUCGGUUUGGGGUGGGCUCGCGUCCGAUUAGGUAGUUGGUGAGGUAACGGCCCACCAAGCCGACGAUCGGUAGCCGACCUGAGAGGGUGAUCGGCCACAUUGGGACUGAGACACGGCCCAAACUCCUACGGGAGGCAGCAGUGGGGAAUAUUGGGCAAUGGGGGGAACCCUGACCCAGCAACGCCGCGUGGAGGAAGAAGGUUUUCGGAUCGUAAACUCCUGUCCUUGGAGACGAGUAGAAGACGGUAUCCAAGGAGGAAGCCCCGGCUAACUACGUGCCAGCAGCCGCGGUAAUACGUAGGGGGCAAGCGUUGUCCGGAAUAAUUGGGCGUAAAGGGCGCGUAGGCGGCUCGGUAAGUCUGGAGUGAAAGUCCUGCUUUUAAGGUGGGAAUUGCUUUGGAUACUGUCGGGCUUGAGUGCAGGAGAGGUUAGUGGAAUUCCCAGUGUAGCGGUGAAAUGCGUAGAGAUUGGGAGGAACACCAGUGGCGAAGGCGACUAACUGGACUGUAACUGACGCUGAGGCGCGAAAGUGUGGGGAGCAAACAGGAUUAGAUACCCUGGUAGUCCACACUGUAAACGAUGAAUGCUAGGUGUAGGGGGUAUCGACCCCUUCUGUGCCGCAGUCAACACAAUAAGCAUUCCGCCUGGGGAGUACGGCCGCAAGGUUGAAACUCAAAGGAAUUGACGGGGGCCCGCACAAGCAGCGGAGCAUGUGGUUUAAUUCGACGCAACGCGAA